CAAAUACUCCCUCCGUCCGGAAAUACUUGUCAUCAAAAUGGAUAAAAGGAAAUGUAUCUAGACGUAUUUUAGUUUUAGAUACAUAUCUUUUUAUCCAUUUUGAUGACAAGUAUUUUCGGACGGAGGGAGUAGAAA
Molecule: non-coding RNA, 135 nt
Organism: Triticum aestivum (bread wheat)
Lineage: Eukaryota; Viridiplantae; Streptophyta; Magnoliopsida; Poales; Poaceae
Source: Rfam